GAUGAACGCUGGCGGCGUGCCUAAUACAUGCCAGUCGAGCGAACAGACGAGGAGCUUGCUCCUCUGACGUUAGCGGCGGACGGGUGAGUAACACGUGGAUAACCUACCUAUAAGACUGGGAUAACUUCGGGAAACCGGAGCUAAUACCGGAUAAUAUAUUGAACCGCAUGUUUCAAUAGUGAACGACGGUUUUGCUGUCACUUAUAGAUGGAUCCGCGCCGCAUUAGCUAGUUGGUAAGGUAACGGCUUACCAAGGCAACGAUGCGUAGCCGACCUGAGAGGGUGAUCGGCCACACUGGAACUGAGACACGGUCCAGACUCCUACGGGAGGCAGCAGUAGGGAAUCUUCCGCAAUGGGCGAAAGCCUAACGGAGCAACGCCGCGUGAGUGAUGAAGGUCUUCGGAUCGUAAAACUCUGUUAUUAGGGAAGAACAAAUGUGUAAGUAACUAUGCACGUCUUGACGGUACCUAAUCAGAAAGCCACGGCUAACUACGUG
Molecule: ribosomal RNA, 497 nt
Filed under: uncultured bacterium
Lineage: Bacteria
Description: partial 16S ribosomal RNA
Rfam family: Bacterial small subunit ribosomal RNA
Source: RNAcentral